GACGUAGGGCGCGAGCGUUGUCCGGAUUUAUUGGGCGUAAAGAGCUCGUAGGCGGCUCGUCGCGUCGUCCGUGAAAACCUGCGGCUCAACUGCAGGCUGGCGGUCGAUACGGGCAUCACUGGAGUUCGGCAGGGGAGACUGGAAUUCCAGGUGUAGCGGUGAAAUGCGUAGAUAUCUGGAGGAACACCGGUGGCGAAGGCGGCAUCCUGGACCGAGAUCGACGCUGAGGCGCGAAAGCUAGGGGAGCAAACGGG
Molecule: ribosomal RNA, 254 nt
Filed under: uncultured bacterium
Lineage: Bacteria
Description: partial 16S ribosomal RNA
Rfam family: Bacterial small subunit ribosomal RNA
Source: RNAcentral